Drosophila guanche is the source of this 1564-nucleotide long non-coding RNA. RefSeq lists it as uncharacterized. The transcript is spliced from 2 exons. NCBI's taxonomy places the organism in Eukaryota, Metazoa, Arthropoda, Insecta, Diptera, Drosophilidae. The record is from RefSeq and is a predicted model, not a curated record.
ACUGUGCGAAAGAAACGGCAACACAUACAGUGAACACAUACAGUCUCGCUCCGUCGACGCCGCAGUCGACGAAGUCUCUGCCAAUAUGUGUGUGUGUGUGGAAAUAAAAUUCACGCAUUUGGGUUUUGAUUAAGCAGAAACAUUGAGCAUUGAGCAUUUUGAUCGCAACAGCCGGCGUGCGCGGUUCGCUAGCUCCCCAAAAGCCCCAAUCUCCACUCUUCACUCACCACUCUCUUGCCUCUGCACAAAUUUAUCUCUGGCUUUUUUGGCUCGACGAAGAGCUUGGGCAAAGUCAAAAUCAGACAGGCGGCGGCCCCCGGCCCAGACGACCACAACGACUACGACAACGGCGGCGGUGACGACGUUCGCAAUAAAUAAAAUAAAAGGCCAGGCCGUGUCUGGGCGGCCGCACAGUCGUUCAGUUUGCACCAAAUGAGAGACAACGAAGACGGCGACAAAGAGCAAUGAGACGAAAAAAAGUUUAAAACUGUUAAAAAAUUUCAAAUAUAGAAUAUCAAGGGUCUCUAGCUGCCGGGUCCGACACCAAUUGCGAAAAAAUUUGCUGAAUGAAUGUAAUAAUCGUCAUUUUUCGCCACUGAUGACGUCACGUCCUCGGAUGGCUGGCUGGCUGGCUGCUCUCUCUCUCUCCCAGUGUCUCCCUCUCUUGUAUGUAGUCAUUAGCACGUAAUGUCUGUGUAUGGUGGCCAGAACGAGGUGUGCAAAGAAGCAUAUGACUAAUUUGGUAUUGUUAUUGCAUAAAAUCGACAACUGGCAAGACCUUCAGGGGCAGACAUCCGCAGCAAAGCAGCAGCAGCCGCCACAUCGGAGAGGUAAAAAGAGCAAAAGCUUAACCAUUAUGUGGCGGCGUCGCAUGAAGUCAUCAGCGGCAGCAGCAGAAAAAGCGGCAACAGCCUGGAAAGAGACGAACAUAUGCUGAGAGCGAGAGAGAUCGUUAACCUUUAAGCUGGACAUGGGACUCGGCACAAGGUCGUUUCCUCCCGUGGUUAUGGCGCAUGAAAUAUGGUCUCGCGCAACAUGAAGUGAAGUGGAAGCGACGCCAUUUGUUGCAGUGGCAGCAGAACACAAAACCGCGUUGCCAAGCCAGCACCAGCAAGCAACAUCUGGUCUCGUCUCGGACCUGGGCUUGGGCUUGGCUUUAUAUCUCGUCCCACAGCCCACCUUCUUGAAAGUCUCCUACCAUGCGCGCUAAUCAGAGACCGGGGCUGGUUUUUUCACUGCAGUCAGGUACCUGAAGUAGCGCGCGUGGUGCUAGACACGAACAUCUGUGUGUGGCAUCAUCUUUUCUUCAGAAUACAAUAUAUAUAAUUUCAUGUGUCUCCCAUGUCUAUUGUACUUCAUCAGGUGCUCUGGUGUGUCCUGUAACCCGGCACAUGUUGAAGUACACUCAAUAUGAGGCGAAUUUCGUGCGAAACAAUCAGUGAUGUCUAAAUUUAUAAAUUGAGUAAACAUAAGCUUAAUCUCUAAUUGAUUGUUAAUUAAGACAUUUAAGGCUGUAUUUUUUUAUAGUUAAAUCUUCAAUAAAUAUAAAAUGUAUUAAAAUAAA